This is an RNA transcript of Labrus mixtus (cuckoo wrasse), 4145 nucleotides long. RefSeq lists it as uncharacterized. The record is from RefSeq and is a predicted model, not a curated record. Lineage: Eukaryota; Metazoa; Chordata; Actinopteri; Labriformes; Labridae. The transcript is spliced from 6 exons.
CUAAAGAGGAGGAGCAAGAGUAAUAGAGAAAGAAGAGGAAAUAGCGCAGCAUAGUCAGUUGGAAGGAAAUCGUACAACUUCGGAUAUACUGCUUCACUUCGACUUUUUACUCUGAUGCAAAGAAAUGAAUUUCUCCAUGCAGCUACAAUUGAAGCGCCCUCCAACAGAAACACAUCCUAUAAUACAGUGUAUAAUUGACAACGAUCUUGAGGAGCUGAAAAAAUUACUUCAGGACAACAGCAUUGAUGAAGGUUAUCCAUGCAAAGAGUGCAAAGAUUAUAUAACACCACUGAUCGCUGCUGUUAUUAACCACAAGAGGAACAUUUGUACUUACCUUUUGCUGAGGGCUGCAGACCCAGAUGUUGCUUCCCCAAAUGGCUUUACACCUUUGCAUUAUGUCUCACUAUCAAAAGCACCACUUUAUUUUGUGAAAAAAUUGCUUGAAGCAAAAGCUCAUCCAAAUGUACAAAAUAUACAAGAAAUCACACCACUGCAUACUGCCGCCAUCGCAGACAGGGAAGAUGUCUUAAAAGCGCUCAUUGAUGCUGGUGCAGUGGUAACAGUGUUACCAAUCAUUUAUCCUGAAAGUAGCACUCACAAUAAACAACUAUCACAGAUGAUUCACAGCCUUGCAUCAAAAGGACAUCAUUUAUUCCAAGAAAUUGGUCAUUUUGUGGAGAUGGAACGUGCUUUGCAGAAGAAUCAACCUGAAGAAGUGUUCAAAACCUUUGACAGUCACAUGCUGCUGGAGCAUCCUCAAACCCAUCUGACCAUGAUUGAGAUACUUUUUAAUGUAAGUGGACCAAAUGAGGAAAAGUACCGCCAGGGAAGUAUCAAAUGGCUGAAGGACACUGGAAGUGUGGACACCUACAUUGCAGGUGUCAUCAAGCGCCUUCCAAACAUUUUGCAGGGUUGUGCACUUCAAGCAAUUUUUUGUUUGUAUGCAGUUUUGUGUACUGUUGAAGAGAUAACAAAUGAGCAAGCAUGUACCAUGAUCCACCAACUACUGGAACAGCUUGGCUCAGAAAACAGACCUGAUAGUAAUGUUGUACUUAUUUUGCAAACACUUUAUGUGAUAACACAGAAAACAGAAGGCAUACACGGCUGGGAGCCCAAGUUUAUUGUGAAGUUUUGUGGAAAAAUAGUUCCCUUUGUGCAUGAAAAACACUCCGCUGAAACGAGAGCCUUCACAUACGGCAUAUUUGGAAACUUGGUCCUAGUCAAAGAUGCAGUUAACAUCAUAAAAUCAGCAGGGAUAACUUCAGUGCCUGAUGACGUACUGACAUCUGCAGACAUGAAUAUGCUAAAAGAUCUUAAAGAAGUGCUCAGACGAUUGAAUAAUAAUCUGAGCAAAUUAAACUCAGAAAGUGAAGACUUACCUGGAUCCAAGAAAAAGAAGAAGAAGAAGAAGAAGAAAAAGAAGGAAGAAGAAAAGCAAGGAGCCCCAAAUGAUGCAAAUGCCCCAAAUGAAGGAGCAGCAGCUGAGCGACACCACGUCAACACCACUGUUACAUCAAUAAAAGACAGAUGGCUUCCAGUCAGCGAGAGAUGGAGAGUAAAAUUAGAGAAGCUCUUGAGCUCUGAUGGAAGUAAAGUAAUCAGAAUUGGGAGCAUGAUUUAUGUGAAUGAAGAAGAAUUUCACAUAGCGAAGGGAAGUGAUGGUACAGAAGUCUUCUUGGGGUUCAGAGAUGAUGGCACUGAAGUUGCUAUCAAAAGAAUAUCUGAACGCAACUAUCGUGAGCUGAAGAAUGAGAAAGGAUUUCUACGACUUCCAGAGCUUGAUCAUCGAUUUAUCGUACGAUACAUUGAUUUUGCAGAGGAUGACAACUUUGGAUAUCUUGGUCUUCAACUUUGUGAAUACACCCUGGAAGAAUACAUCACUGACAAUAAAGAGGGUGGUCUGGAGAUGAAGAAGAGACUUGUCUCUAUGUUCCUCGAGGGUUUAAGCGUGCUUCAUUGUCAAAACUCUCCAAUUCUCCACCGGGAUCUCAAACCACAGAAUGUUUUUAUUGACGUUAAUAGGAGGGCAAGAUUAGCUGAUUUUGGCAUCUGUAGACGGGUACCCAAAGGCCAAACAACUUACUGUACACGUGCUGCUGGAACGAAGUGCUGGAAGGCCAAGGAGACCUUAGAAGAAGACACUGACAUACAUUACAAGUCCAACACUGAUGUCCAAGCAAGUUUUAUCACUCAAACGUUAUUGAUGACUUCUUGAAAAAUGGCUUUCUGAAAUGAGUCUGUUUAUUCUUAAGGUGGCAGGGAUGCUGAUAUAUUAUAUCCUCUCUGGGGGACACCAUCCUUUUGGCGACAAAGCCUACGAGUGUGAGUACAACAUUCACAAGGGGAAGUACACGUUGGACCAUGUUCAAGAUGUGGUGGCAAAGGAUCUCAUUGAGUGGAUGAUCAACGAAGAACCAAAGAAGAGACCUAAAGUUGAAGAAUGCUUGAGUCAUCCUUUCUUUUGGCACCCAGACAAGAGAGUAGACUAUUUGAAAAAGGUUGGAAACAUCAAUGAAGUGAAAAACUACAAAAAUGCUGAUCCAGAAUUAAUUUCUUCACUGGAAAAACAUGCUGGAGAGGGAUCCUACAAACAGUGGAAACAUCAGUUUCCAGAAGAGCUGGUCCAGAGAGUGGAGGGUAAGAAGAAAUUCUACUCUGAAGACAUUCUGGGACUGCUGCGCUUCAUUCGGAACCUCCAUGAGCACUAUGAAGAGGAUGCCGCCAAUCUUGAUCUGCUGUCGAUGUUUCCUGAUCUGUUUGGAGGUGUUUAUAUAUCUGCAAAAAGCCAAGGGUGGAACACGAAACCUUCCCUUAAAAAAUUCUUUAGAACAGAAGAGUUUCCCAGAGACAACAUCACCAGCAGAUCUGCAGCGCCACCCACAAAUCCUGAUCAACAUGUCAGUUGCCCAAUUCAAGAAACUCAACAAGUAUCCACAAAGCCAUCUUAAAAAGUGACACUAGGCUCAUCUUCCUCGUGAUUCCAAUUUAUCAAGGAUAAAGUGGUCACCAAGUGGUUUUGAAAAGAACUGUUGCCUUUAGCAAUAAAACCUGUUGUUGGAAGGUUUUCAAUCAUCACAGCAAAUCCCACACGGUAUGUUUUUGUUUUUUAAAGUGUUCCUUAUUAUAGGGCCUCCUUUUGGGUGACUGUCUUUGAAAUAAUGCCACUUGACAAACCACCCAGCCCAAAGUGAGGGCCUGCAUUUGCUGAUAGACAUGUUUAUCUAGAUGACCGUUUUUUUCAUCUAUAUGUUUUGUUGAUCUACUUUUUUUGCAAACCUCUGGAUGUCAGAGGAUUGGCUCUUAUCUAAUAAGUAAUAAGAAGUGUAUAUUUUUCACAUGGAAACACACAAGCAAUGUCAUUGUAAAAAGUUGUUAUUUUAAUUAGUCUAUGAAAAGAGGUCAUGGUAAAUAUUUCCCCAGCAUAGACCAAUUAUUUUCAGUGGAGUGUGUCCUGUCCUCUAAUAUGACAACUGGACGGGUAUGAUGUCACCAUACACAAGACUUUACAAGGAAUGCAAAUCACGUCUUGACUAUGUAUUAAGAAUAAAUGCAUUAUGCUGUAAGUCCAGCCAUGUUGGAAUUUAGGCCUGAUAAUUUUACCACGGGCUGGAAAAGGGACUUCUUAUUUUGUUUUUGUAUUUUGUCUCAGUCUUCUGACUUUUUUUAAAAUUUUACGUUUAAAGACAUUUGCAUUUUUUAUAAAAUAUUGUAAAUCACUGUAUGUGUUAUUUUGUUUCUAUUUUACAAAACUAAAAACUCAAUACAUUUUUCAAAGAAAUAAAGGGCCCCUAUUUAGGGUUAAGACUUUUUCUGUGCGGGCUUGAUCACAUCUCUUUUUGUAUUGUCACUUUGGAAAAGUGAAUUGCUUGAAGCCACAUGACUAAUCACUCCGCCUACAUAUGUGAGGGGGCUCCGUUGGCUGAUUUGUGUUUGUAUACGACUCUUUUAUAAAUACAUUUUGAAUACUUUUAUACUUUUUUGCUUCAUACUCAUCUUCUGUAAUUGAUUUUUGUUACAUGUUGUAUAACAAUCCUGAUAAAAGCCAUGGGCAAGAACUUGAUUUUCAAACAGUAAAGUUUGUCUUUCUACCAUACAUGAUUUUAUGAAAUGUGCUAUAUAAAUGAAGUUUGAUUGAUAUCCUACAA